CAUGGCUCUGGCAAGUCACUUUCCCUCUCUGGCCUGUUUCCUCACCUGUACACUGGGGGAACAGGAGGGGAGUUGGGGGCACAGGCUGAGCAGAUGAUGGCUUCUGGGAUUCGCGACAGGAAGGAUCUCCCCUGUGUCUGUCUAGAUGAACAGAAUCUUGCUGAGAGCUUGUUCAUCCCUAAUGGCAAUGGUGAUGAUGGUGAUGAUGAUGCUGAUGGUGCCAUUAGAUGAGUAUUUUAAAACUCUUUUUUUAACUUUUCUGAGAUGUUAGAGAAAAAGCCAAAAAAAGGCUUUGAGUUUCAGAAGAUCUGAGAUAUGCCUGGACCAAGAGAAGAACCAGAGGAAGGUCACAGCCACAGCCACAGAAGGUAGCAAGCACUCCCCACUGGGGACCAGGAGUGUCAGAGGGGGCAGAGAGAAAUUAUUGUUUACAUGAACCAAGGGAGACCGAAACCUGCUCAUCUGUAGCCAUUUGGUAAGGAAGUACCUGCAGCCAGGUCAGCUGAACUCCCAUAUCAGAGAUCUUAGGCCCUACGGCACUCUACGGUGACCUGACUGACCCUAGCUCAGAAUUUUCAGGCUAGGUGAAUGGAUGCCUGGAGAGGACAUUCCACCCCAAGCUGAGGCACUGGACCAGGUGACCUUCUGAUCCUGCAAGCCAUCAGUUCAAGCCAUCAGCUCUCAGCCAAUGUUUCCCAAGCAUCCGACACCCAGGGGAUUCAAAGAUGGAUGAGAGUGAGAGGAGGAAUGCGUGUGAGUCCUCAGCAUGGGGAUGGAGAAGUUUUCAGCUUCUGGGUUCAAAUCCUGGCUCUACCAUCUACCAGCUGUAUGACUUUGAGAUUGGAAACUUCCUGAGACCUCCCCAGAAGCUGAUGCCACCAUGUUUGCUGUGCAGCCUACAGAACCGUGAGCCAAUUAAACCUCUUUUCUUUAUAAAUGACCCAGUCUCAGGUAUUUCUUUCUGGCAAU
Molecule: long non-coding RNA, 969 nt
Filed under: Homo sapiens (human)
Lineage: Eukaryota; Metazoa; Chordata; Mammalia; Primates; Hominidae
Description: HSALNT0399103
Source: RNAcentral